AGUGAACGCUGGCGGCAGGCCUAACACAUGCAAGUCGAGCGGCAGCGCGUCCGACCACCCUCGGGUGGUCGGAUGGCGGCGAGCGGCGGACGGGUGAGGAAUGCAUCGGAAUCUGCCUCGUUGUGGGGGAUAACGUAGGGAAACUUACGCUAAUACCGCAUACGACCUACGGGUGAAAGUGGGGGACCUUCGGGCCUCACGCGAUGAGAUGAGCCGAUGCCGGAUUAGCUAGUUGGCGGGGUAAUGGCCCGACCAAGCCUUAGACGGGUAGCGGGUGUGAGAGCACGGCCCGCAACAUCGGAACUCGAGACACUGUCCGGACUCCUACGGGAGGCUGCAGUAACGAAUCUUCCGCAAUGGGCGCAAGCCUGACGGAGCAAUGCCGCGUGCGGGAUGAAGUAUCUCUGGUAUGUAAACCGCUGUCAGGGGACGGAAACAAUGAUUGUCCCCAGAGGAAGUGGCGACUAACUCUGUGCCAGCAGCCGCGGUAAGGUA
RNAcentral lists this ribosomal RNA (495 nucleotides) under uncultured bacterium. RNAcentral's name for it is "bacterial SSU rRNA". It matches the Rfam family "Bacterial small subunit ribosomal RNA", at positions 30 to 527 of the family's 1533-position model. The record is from RNAcentral.